This 253-nucleotide ribosomal RNA is filed under the name uncultured bacterium. Its description in RNAcentral is "partial 16S ribosomal RNA". It matches the Rfam family "Bacterial small subunit ribosomal RNA", at positions 524 to 776 of the family's 1533-position model. RNAcentral also lists the same sequence under 1 other name. The record is from RNAcentral.
UACGAAGGUGGCAAGCGUUGUUCGGAUUCACUGGGCGUACAGGGAGCGUAGGCGGUUGGGUAAGCCCUCCGUGAAAUCUCCGGGCCUAACCCGGAAAGUGCAGAGGGGACUGCUCAGCUAGAGGAUGGGAGAGGAGCGCGGAAUUCCCGGUGUAGCGGUGAAAUGCGUAGAGAUCGGGAGGAAGGCCGGUGGCGAAGGCGGCGCUCUGGAACAUUUCUGACGCUGAGGCUCGAAAGCGUGGGGAGCAAACAGG